Molecule: transfer-messenger RNA, 353 nt
Filed under: Verrucomicrobiaceae
Lineage: Bacteria; Pseudomonadati; Verrucomicrobiota; Verrucomicrobiia; Verrucomicrobiales
Also listed under: 1 other name
Description: Prosthecobacter sp016795375 Standard tmRNA
Rfam family: transfer-messenger RNA
About the family: Bacterial tmRNA, also known as 10Sa RNA or SsrA, is named for its dual tRNA and mRNA-like properties. Its role is to liberate the mRNA from a stalled ribosome. To accomplish this part of the tmRNA is used as a reading frame that ends in a translation stop signal.
Source: RNAcentral
GGGGGCGUACUGGUUUCGACGGGUAGCCUUAGUUCGGAGCUGCAUGCCGAGGAUGAUUCGUUGGCCUCGUUAAAAUCGCGGAUCAAAAACAUAAAUGUGAACUCUAACGAGCUCGCUCUCGCGGCUUAAGCCCCGCGACGUCCCGCAGGCGAUGUCUGGUGGCCUGCGCGACGACACCACCAGGCUGGGCUGAUGGCCGGGCGACCGGGUCGCAGCCGAGAUCAAACAGGACGCUGGGUGAAGAGUAGGCCGUCUCAAGCCGCCUCCAGCCGAGACCAAAGAUGAGACUGAGCAUGGAGACGCUGCGGAUGAUGGUUAUUCGGACAGGGGUUCAAAUCCCCUCGCCUCCACUU